This 471-nucleotide ribosomal RNA is filed under the name uncultured organism. RNAcentral describes it as "partial 16S ribosomal RNA". It matches the Rfam family "Bacterial small subunit ribosomal RNA", at positions 333 to 800 of the family's 1533-position model. The record is from RNAcentral.
ACACUCCUACGGGAGGCAGCAGUGAGGAAUAUUGGACAAUGGGUGGAAGCCUGAUCCAGCCAUCCCGCGUGCAGGAAGACGGCCCUAUGGGUUGUAAACUGCUUUUAUCUGGGGAUAAACCUACUUACGUGUAAGUAGCUGAAGGUACCAGAAGAAUAAGCACCGGCUAACUCCGUGCCAGCAGCCGCGGUAAUACGGAGGGUGCAAGCGUUAUCCGGAUUUAUUGGGUUUAAAGGGUCCGUAGGCGGACUGAUAAGUCAGUGGUGAAAUCCGACAGCUUAACUGUCGAACUGCCAUUGAUACUGUUAGUCUUGAGUAAGGUUGAAGUGGCUGGAAUAAGUAGUGUAGCGGUGAAAUGCAUAGAUAUUACUUAGAACACCAAUUGCGAAGGCAGGUCACUAAGUCUUAACUGACGCUGAUGGACGAAAGCGUGGGGAGCGAACAGGAUUAGAAACCCGGGUAGUCCCAUGA